This 484-nucleotide ribosomal RNA is filed under the name uncultured bacterium. RNAcentral's name for it is "partial 16S ribosomal RNA". It matches the Rfam family "Bacterial small subunit ribosomal RNA", at positions 30 to 507 of the family's 1533-position model. The record is from RNAcentral.
AUUGAACGCUGGCGGCAGGCCUAACACAUGCAAGUCGAGCGGAUGAAGGGAGCUUGCUCCUGGAUUCAGCGGCGGACGGGUGAGUAAUGCCUAGGAAUCUGCCUGGUAGUGGGGGAUAACGUCCGGAAACGGGCGCUAAUACCGCAUACGUCCUGAGGGAGAAAGUGGGGGAUCUUCGGACCUCACGCUAUCAGAUGAGCCUAGGUCGGAUUAGCUAGUUGGUGGGGUAAAGGCUUACCAAGGCGACGAUCCGUAACUGGUCUGAGAGGAUGAUCAGUCACACUGGAACUGAGACACGGUCCAGACUCCUACGGGAGGCAGCAGUGGGGAAUAUUGGACAAUGGGCGAAAGCCUGAUCCAGCCAUGCCGCGUGUGUGAAGAAGGUCUUCGGAUUGUAAAGCACUUUAAGUUGGGAGGAAGGGCAGUAAGUUAAUACCUUGCUGUUUUGACGGUACCAACAGAAUAAGCACCGGCUAACUUCGUG